Non-coding RNA from Peromyscus maniculatus bairdii (prairie deer mouse), 1864 nucleotides. The record is from RefSeq and is a predicted model, not a curated record. Lineage: Eukaryota; Metazoa; Chordata; Mammalia; Rodentia; Cricetidae.
UGGGUUUUGGGUGGGGACACGAGCCAAGUGCCAGGUAUUGAGAGAAAAUAAUUCUACUGUUUUGAGCUGGAAAACAAUUCCAUGUCUAGUGUUCAAAUGAACAGACAGACACCUGCUGGGAAAGAUGGGAUCUACCCAAAGGAGAAAGAGUAACUUCAGGUGGGGAGGAUAGGAAAGAAGAGGGUCAGGGGAUGUUUUGUAGGAAGAAAGGAAAGACAAAAAUUCAAGAUGGUUCUGUAGGGCUCAUUGUUUUAACUGCAAAAGAAUAGGGGAAAUUAAAAGUGAUAAUAAAUACUAAGCAAAGAGAAUUUGAUUGGGAUAACAUCAAAAUUUUGGAUAGUCAUAUUUGGUAGAGGUGACUAGGAUGAGGGCGAAUGUGUUUGACAAAGAAAACAGAGCACUCAUACAGACUGGGAUUGGGCACUAUAACACUGUAAAGGAAUGAACAGAAGGGAAGGAAGUAAUUCUAAGUGGAAAGUAUUCUGUUCAUUUGAGAUGGAGAGGCACUGAGAUGCUUGAGUGAGGACAUCGAGUGGUCACCACCAGAAAGCUAGGGCAUGGACUGGGAAGACAAAGGCCAGGGAAGACAGGGGCCAUCCACAGCAGUGAUUCUUAACCAGGGGUGGGGGGUGGGGGGUUCCACCUGAGGGGGGGGGCGGGCAUGGCCCCCAGGUGGCCUAUCAGAACAUCAGAGGCAGAGCAGUGAUCUGCUCACAAAUACCAACAAUAACACCAUCCAGAAGAUGUUCUGAUAGGCUACUGGGAGGCCAUGCACCCCUGGGUGAGAAUCACUGGUGGAGGGGGGGGGUGGAGAUGCAAGAAAGGAAGAUGAUGGGCUCGAGUGUCCUGAAAGAGAGCUGUCCUGUUAGCAGCAUGUCCGAGAGAAGGUGGGCAUCCUUGUUUGAGGAUGAGUAGGCAGAAAUGAGGGCAGAGGACAAGAAGCAUGUAGAAACAGGAACAUUAAGAGACAGAUGCUCUCUGUGGGCUUUUCAGGAAUAGUGUCAUACAAAAGAGCAGCAAAGGAAGCAAAACAGUUUACAGGGAGCCACGAGUAUGGAGUUCUAGAAGGAACUUACAUGGACUGCUGGGUAUAAUAUGCAGGCUUGUACAAGCAGUGGGUUGCAAAGAUGAAGGAGCCUGUUAGAACAGUGGGUGUGGAGGACAGGUGAAGCAGAGAGUGCAUACCCAGGUCGCCAGACUGAACCAGCACUUCACACAGAACAGUGGAAAGGGCGUCCAGUGGGGGGGGGGGUAUGACUGCUUCACUGGAGUAAAGAGCACAGCAGGAGAAACGAUCAGCUGAAUGCAGGAGACGCGAGAGGAGGUUAGGAGUUUGCAACACAUGAAAGAGCAAGAGAAGAGAGCAUGCAGGGAAGGGCCUGAUCCAAGACAAGUACACCUAGGCUCAGAACAGUGUCAGUUAGCCUGGUCAUGGUGCUGAAAUCAGGAGGCAGAGGCAGGCGGCUCUUUGAGUUCGAGGCCAGCCUGGUCUACAGAGUGAGUUCCAAGACAGCCAGGACUGUACAGAGAAAGCAUGUCUCAAAAAACCAAAAACCAACCAACCAACCAAAAACACCAAAAAACAAAAACAAAAACAAAACCAAGGAGAGAGAGAAAAGUGGGUCAGUUGAGUAGGAACUCUGUUUUUAAAAGGCUGCAAAGAGAGAGAAUGAGUGUGAUGAAUUCCGUAAAGAAAGAGUAUGGCCUGGGUAGUCUGGGUAGUACAAUUAAGGGACAAAGGAAGGGUGGCAAGAGUGGAAAGAACAGCAAGGCUGUAGGGGUUGGAAGCACCUAGGAAAGAUUGGUGAUUAUGUGUCAAAGGGCAAGGCAAGACGAUGAAAGGCCAGUGGAACAGCAGUGACCA